UGGGGAAUAUUGGACAAUGGGCGCAAGCCUGAUCCAGCAAUGCCGCGUGUGUGAAGAAGGCCUUCGGGUUGUAAAGCACUUUUAUCAGGAGCGAAACGCUGUCGGCUAAUACCCGGCGGAACUGACGGUACCUGAGGAAUAAGCACCGGCUAACUUCGUGCCAGCAGCCGCGGUAAUACGAAGGGUGCAAGCGUUAAUCGGAAUUACUGGGCGUAAAGCGUGCGUAGGCGGUUUCUUAAGUCUGCUGUGAAAUCCCCGGGCUCAACCUGGGAAUGGCAGUGGAUACUGGGAGGCUAGAGUGUGUCAGAGGGUGGUGGAAUUCCCGGUGUAGCGGUGAAAUGCGUAGAGAUCGGGAGGAACAUCAGUGGCGAAGGCGGCCACCUGGGACAACACUGACGCUGAGGCACGAAAGCGUGGGGAGCAAACAGGAUUAGAUACCCUGGUAGUCCACGCCCUAAAACGAUGCGAACUGGAUGUUGGUCUCAACUCGGAGAUCAGUGUCGAAGCUAACGCGUUAAGUUCGCCGCCUGGGGAGUACGGUCGCAAGACUGAAACUC
This 557-nucleotide ribosomal RNA is filed under the name uncultured bacterium. Its description in RNAcentral is "partial 16S ribosomal RNA". It matches the Rfam family "Bacterial small subunit ribosomal RNA", at positions 355 to 902 of the family's 1533-position model. The record is from RNAcentral.